CCUUCACACAGGUGCUGCAUGGCUGUCGUCAGCUCGUGUCGUGAGAUGUUGGGUUAAGUCCCGCAACGAGCGCAACCCUUGUCAUUAGUUGCUACAUUUAGUUGGGCACUCUAAUGAGACUGCCGGUGACAAACCGGAGGAAGGUGGGGAUGACGUCAAGUCCUCAUGGCCCUUAUGGGUAGGGCUUCACACGUCAUACAAUGGUACAUACAGAGGGCCGCCAACCCGCGAGGGGGAGCUAAUCCCAGAAAGUGUAUCGUAGUCCGGAUUGUAGUCUGCAACUCGACUACAUGAAGUUGGAAUCGCUAGUAAUCGCGGAUCAGCAUGUCGCGGUGAAUACGUUCCCGGGUCUUGUACACACCGCCCGUCACACCAUGGGAGCGGGUUUUACCAGAAGUAGGUAGCUUAACCG
RNAcentral lists this ribosomal RNA (412 nucleotides) under Massilia phyllostachyos. RNAcentral describes it as "bacterial SSU rRNA". It matches the Rfam family "Bacterial small subunit ribosomal RNA", at positions 1027 to 1441 of the family's 1533-position model. The record is from RNAcentral. Lineage: Bacteria; Pseudomonadati; Pseudomonadota; Betaproteobacteria; Burkholderiales; Oxalobacteraceae.